UCCGGUUUGUCACCGGCAGUCUCAUUAAAGUGCCCAACUAAAUGAUGGCAAUUAAUGACAAGGGUUGCGCUCGUUGCGGGACUUAACCCAACAUCUCACGACACGAGCUGACGACAGCCAUGCAGCACCUGUGUUCAGGUUCCCUUUCGGGCACUCUCUAAUCUCUUAAAGAUUCCUGACAUGUCAAGGGUAGGUAAGGUUUUUCGCGUUGCAUCGAAUUAAUCCACAUAAUCCACCGCUUGUGCGGGUCCCCGUCAAUUCCUUUGAGUUUUAAUCUUGCGACCGUACUCCCCAGGCGGUCAACUUCACGCGUUAGCUGCGUUACCAAAAAAGUUACCUUUUCCGACAACUAGUUGACAUCGUUUAGGGCGUGGACUAC
RNAcentral lists this unclassified non-coding RNA (379 nucleotides) under uncultured Gammaproteobacteria bacterium. RNAcentral describes it as "contains 16S-23S intergenic spacer region". Lineage: Bacteria; Pseudomonadati; Pseudomonadota; Gammaproteobacteria. The record is from RNAcentral.